AUACGUAGGUGGCAAGCGUUAUCCGGAAUUAUUGGGCGUAAAGAGUGAGCAGGCGGUUAAUUAAGUCUGAGGUUAAAGCGUGGGGCUCAACCCCAUAAAGCCUUGGAAACUGAUUGACUAGAGUACGGGAGAAGUGAAGGGAACUCCAUGUGUAGCGGUGAAAUGCGUAGAUAUAUGGAAGAACACCAGUGGCGAAGGCGCUUCACUAGCCCGAAACUGACGCUCAGUCACGAAAGCGUGGGUAGCAAAUAGGAUUAGAUAUCCUAGUAGUCCACGCUGUAAACGAUGACAACUAAAUAUUGCCGCGAGGCAGUGUUGAAGCUAACGCAUUAAGUUGUCCGCCUGGGGAGUACGGUCGCAAGACUGAAACUUAAAGGAAUUGACGGGG
This 388-nucleotide ribosomal RNA is filed under the name uncultured bacterium. RNAcentral's name for it is "partial 16S ribosomal RNA". It matches the Rfam family "Bacterial small subunit ribosomal RNA", at positions 523 to 918 of the family's 1533-position model. The record is from RNAcentral.